CCCUACGGGGUGCAGCAGGCGCGAACACUUUACAAUGCGGGAAACCGCGAUAAGGGAACCCCGAGUGCCAGCAUCAAAUGUUGGCUGUCCAGAUGGUUAAAAAUCAUUUGUUAGCAAGGGCCGGGCAAGACCGGUGCCAGCCGCCGCGGUAACACCGGCGGCCCAAGUGGUAGCCGUUUUUAUUGGGUCUAAAGGGUCCGUAGCCGGCCUGAUAAGUCCUUUGGGAAAUCUGACAGCUUAACUGUCAGGCUUCUAAGGGAUACUGUCAGGCUUGGGACCGGAAGAGGUAAGGGGUACUCCAGGGGUAGGAGUGAAAUCUUGUAAUCCCUGGGGGACCAUCUGUGGCGAAGGCGCCUUACCAGAACGGGUCCGACGGUGAGGGACGAAAGCUAGGGGAGCAAACCGGAUUAGAUACCCGGGUAGUCCUAGCUGUAAACGAUGCUCGCUAGGUGUCAGACACGGUGCGACCGUGUUUGGUGCCGCAGGGAAGCCGUUAAGCGAGCCACCUGGGAAGUACGGUCGCAAGGCUGAAACUUAAAGGAAUUGGCGGGGGAGCAC
Molecule: ribosomal RNA, 558 nt
Filed under: uncultured archaeon
Lineage: Archaea
Description: bacterial SSU rRNA
Rfam family: Archaeal small subunit ribosomal RNA
Source: RNAcentral